UCGAGUUCGUUAUUUUUACGCUCGUAACCCUUUGUGAACCAUUAUAACUCGUUGCUUCGGCGGCGCGUCCCCCCGGGGGCGUGCCCGCCGGUGACUUCAGAAUCUCUGUUCGAACCCGACGUUACUUCUGAGUGUUCUUAAGCGAACUAUUA
Molecule: unclassified non-coding RNA, 152 nt
Filed under: uncultured Hypocreales
Lineage: Eukaryota; Fungi; Ascomycota; Sordariomycetes; Hypocreales
Description: sequence contains ITS1
Source: RNAcentral